This 520-nucleotide ribosomal RNA is filed under the name Papilio neumoegeni. RNAcentral's name for it is "partial 16S ribosomal RNA". The stretch from base 396 to 520 matches the Rfam family "Bacterial large subunit ribosomal RNA", at positions 2473 to 2598 of the family's 2925-position model. Lineage: Eukaryota; Metazoa; Arthropoda; Insecta; Lepidoptera; Papilionidae. The record is from RNAcentral.
AAACAUGUCUUUUUGUAAAUAAUUUAAAGUUUAAUCUGCCCACUGAUNAAUUUAUUAAAGGGCUGCAGUAUUUUGACUGUACAAAGGUAGCAUAAUCAUUAGUCUCUUAAUUGGUGACUUGUAUGAAAGAUUGGAUGAGAUAUAUACUGUCUCUAAUUAAUUUAUAAAAUUUAAUUUUUUAGUAAAAAAGCUAAAAUGAUUUUAAAAGACGAGAAGACCCUAUAGAGUUUAAUAAUUUAUUUAAUUAUUAUUAUUAUAUAAAUUUUAAAAUUAAAAUUAAAUAAAUUAUUUUGUUGGGGUGAUAGAAAAAUUAAAUUAACUUUUUUUUUAUUUUAAACAUUAAUUUAUGAAUAAAUGAUCCAUUAAUAGUGAUUAUAAGAAAAAAUUACCUUAGGGAUAACAGCGUAAUUUUUUUUUUUAGUUCAAAUAGGAAAAAAAGUUUGCGACCUCGAUGUUGGAUUAAGAUAAAAUUUAAAUGCAAAAGUUUAAAAUUUUAAUCUGUUCGAUCAUUAAAAUCUUA